Molecule: ribosomal RNA, 367 nt
Filed under: uncultured bacterium
Lineage: Bacteria
Description: bacterial SSU rRNA
Rfam family: Bacterial small subunit ribosomal RNA
Source: RNAcentral
GGAGGGUGCAAGCGUUAUCCGGAUUUACUGGGUUUAAAGGGUGCGUAGGUGGGUUUGUAAGUCAGUGGUGAAAUCUCCGGGCUUAACUCGGAAACUGCCAUUGAUACUAUAGAUCUUGAAUUAUAUGGAGGUAAGCGGAAUAUGUCAUGUAGCGGUGAAAUGCUUAGAUAUGACAUAGAACACCAAUUGCGAAGGCAGCUUACUACGUAUAUAUUGACACUGAGGCACGAAAGCGUGGGGAUCAAACAGGAUUAGAUACCCUGGUAGUCCACGCCCUAAACGAUGGAUACUCGACAUCAGCGAUACACUGUUGGUGUCUGAGCGAAAGCAUUAAGUAUCCCACCUGGGAAGUACGAUCGCAAGAUUG